Long non-coding RNA from Cervus elaphus (red deer), 1136 nucleotides. RefSeq lists it as uncharacterized. The record is from RefSeq and is a predicted model, not a curated record. The transcript is spliced from 3 exons. NCBI's taxonomy places the organism in Eukaryota, Metazoa, Chordata, Mammalia, Artiodactyla, Cervidae.
GCAGCAAGCAGCGCCCUGGGAGGCGUUGCUGGAAGUGAGUGGCCAAGAGCCCAGGAUGGGUGCCCAGGCCGGCUGCAGAGGCAGAGAAAGGCAAAGACAUAGACGCUGGACCACGCAGCUGCAGGAAGCCGGGCGGAUGGGAAAAAGCCAGAGAGGGAUUUGGAAGGGAAGGAGUGUGUGUGGAGAGCGGGCAGCGCUAGAGAACUAAGGAUCCGGAGCUUUAGCGCGCAACUGGUCCCCAGAGCCCGGACCUGGCUAUCGGGUGGGAGGGGGAGGGGAAGGGGUUCGCUGAAGGUGGAGGAAUAAGUUCAAGGGCUGAAGCUAAGCGGAAAAUGGAAGGCAACCUUUCCGAGAACCAGGAUGGGUGAGGACAGUCGAGCUGAGGGAACAGUAAUGAGAAAGCUGGAGCGGCAAAGAAGGAGAAAAAACACAGAUUGAAGAGUGAGACCAUGGAAGGGUGAGAAAUAUAUUCUGAAAAGAAAAACGAAGAAAGUAAAAUGCAUCUGGAACUUAAAAUUCGAUAUGGGGGUGGGGGGAGUCACGCUAGAGAGAACUUGUCCCCGAUACUGCCAAGAGAGAUAGGGAAAAAAAAAAAAAAAGCACCAAGCUUACUGGAAGAACAGAAAAGAAGGAGGGGAGAAAAGAGAGGAGACAAACCAGACAAGAAAUAAGUGAGACACUGAGAGACCCUUCAAACACAUCAGUCUUCAUCCCUGGUCCUGCACAGAAUAGCUCUUUGGACCCUAACAACUGUUUAUUAAAGCUCAUCAUUAAACAAAUUUCAAGGGGUGUGCUUAAGCACUGACUCUCAAAAAAAGACCUGCUCAACAGCAGCUUUACCUCUGACCGUCCAAUCCAGGCUCUGUUCUGGUGAAUUCCCACCUGGCUACAAAGCACCUAUAUUAUUUUGUGCCUACUAGAUGAAAGUAAAUUGAUUUUCUUUGGGGUGAAUAACAAGACACCUCAAGCAGGUCUUGUCCCAUGAAAAAAGUGUCUGUGGUACAACCAUGCACUCACUUACAUUUUAUCCCUUCAUUACAGUGCAUUUUUGAUGCAUACAGUGCAUUUUGCACACUGAUGCUUUUGAACUGUGGUGUUAGAGAAGACUCUUGAGAGUCCCUUGGACUGCAAGAAGA